CUAGAGAGCCUAACUGCCAUCUGGAACUGAAUCCUGACUCUGGUACUGAGAGCAUCUCUAGGACUCAACUCUGAGCUCCUGAGGACUUCCGGUUUCUUCCAGUGAAGAAACUAGCAAGAUCCUGACAUCACUCAAACCUGUGACACUGCUGCUACUCUGAAGAAAUUGAAAACCAAGAAAGGAUUGGCCAGAACUGCUUAAUUUACCUUUGAAGAGGCUCUGACCUUAGCGGGGUAGAUUUGGCCACAUCCUGUAUCUCACUUGUCUUCUACUCUGAUUCUAAUCUAGUGACUAUUUCUUUCAUGAGUUUAGCCUAGGAAUUAGAUCAGAUAGCAAGGGGACAUUAAGAUCAGAGAGAGUAGACAGUGUAGCCUCAGCUCAGCCGAGGGUCGAAGAGAACCUGGAAAGGGUCAAUUUUGGGGGGAAAGGUAGAUUUUUUAUUAGUUGAUAGGGAAUAUAAUUCAGCCCACCUUCCUAACCCUUUGCUUGAUUACAUUAUAAAAUAGAUCUUGCUACCUGAAGACAUCACAGUCAGAUUUGAUUACAUUCUGGUCUGAGUCAGAGAGAGAAGCCAUUUUUGCUCUCUGACACCGGAGAAACUCUUUCCUAGACUAGGUUAAGCAAAACCCUAGUCAACCAUUAUUUAUCAUCUUCUGGGGUGUUUGACUCCCAUCUUUCACAACUAGAUUGCUUGAUGACAAAUUCAUUUCAAUUAAAAAAAUAAACAUCAUGCACCCACUAUGUGCUAGGUACUGUGCUAAGUGCUAGGAAUACUUUUAAAAAGUAUCUAAAAAAAGCCAGGACUUUUUCUAUUGUCCCACUUUGUCCCUUAAGGUAUUUAAUAAAUGUUCAUUGAUGGUUAAAGCUCUGGCUUUAACUCCUUGGAAAACCAAACACUUGAAAAUUACAGAAGUUGUACUAAUUUUUUUUUAUUUCUUAAAAUGACCACCCAAAAGUUAAUGAGAAAAAGAAACUUAUGCAUUGUAUAAAUAUUCAGAAGGAAAUUGGAUUUGGAGUUAAAGAACCAGAGUUAAAUCUAGUUCUCCUGCUAAGGAAUCCAUAUUAUCAUGGAGAAUCCUGACUCCAUUCUGUAUAGAUUCCUCUUUCUUGACACUACCAGUGUUGCCCAAGGCUUUGAGUGAUGGAUAGGUAAAUAAUAAAGCAUUUAUUAAGCAAUUAUCA
Molecule: long non-coding RNA, 1182 nt
Filed under: Monodelphis domestica (gray short-tailed opossum)
Lineage: Eukaryota; Metazoa; Chordata; Mammalia; Didelphimorphia; Didelphidae
Description: lncRNA (ENSMODG00000030418.2)
Source: RNAcentral